AUAACCUCUUUCUCCCUUGCCUAUCUUUCAGAAGCAUCGCUCGGUGAAGAAUGCAUUAAAGAAGCCUUAUUGGAACAAGACCAGGCGGCAAGAGUUAUGAGAUAAAGACUGCUUGCUGAAUCAGAAGCAUCGCUCGGUGAAGAAUGCAUUAAAGAAGCCUUAUUGGAACAAGACCAGGCGGCAAGAGUUAUGAGAUAAAGACUGCUUGCUGAAUCAGAAGCAUCGCUCGGUGAAGAAUGCAUUAAAGAAGCCUUAUUGGAACAAGACCAGGCGGCAAGAGUUAUGAGAUAAAGACUGCUUGCUGAAUCAGAAGCAUCGCUCGGUGAAGAAUGCAUUAAAGAAGCCUUAUUGGAACAAGACCAGGCGGCAAGAGUUAUGAGAUAAAGACUGCUUGCUGAAUCAGAAGCAUCGCUCGGUGAAGAAUGCAUUAAAGAAGCCUUAUUGGAACAAGACCAGGCGGCAAGAGUUAUGAGAUAAAGACUGCUUGCUGAAUCAGAAGCAUCGCUCGGUGAAGAAUGCAUUAAAGAAGCCUUAUUGGAACAAGACCAGGCGGCAAGAGUUAUGAGAUAAAGACUGCUUGCUGAAUCAGAAGCAUCGCUCGGUGAAGAAUGCAUUAAAGAAGCCUUAUUGGAACAAGACCAGGCGGCAAGAGUUAUGAGAUAAAGACUGCUUGCUGAAUCAGAAGCAUCGCUCGGUGAAGAAUGCAUUAAAGAAGCCUUAUUGGAACAAGACCAGGCGGCAAGAGUUAUGAGAUAAA
Molecule: long non-coding RNA, 757 nt
Organism: Xenopus laevis (African clawed frog)
Lineage: Eukaryota; Metazoa; Chordata; Amphibia; Anura; Pipidae
Exons: 8
Source: RefSeq, a predicted model, not a curated record